Molecule: unclassified non-coding RNA, 244 nt
Filed under: Rhopalosiphum maidis (corn leaf aphid)
Lineage: Eukaryota; Metazoa; Arthropoda; Insecta; Hemiptera; Aphididae
Description: transmembrane protein 14C, transcript variant X1
Source: RNAcentral
UUAUGAUAUCCUUAUGGUUCAUAUAAACACAUGAUAGUGUUGUGUGAUGUACAUGGGUUGAUUAGUCGACGACUCAAAACUAUAAAGACUAAAGAAUAAAUCUAGUAUUCCAAGUCUGUCUGCUGGUUUGUUGUUUGGAUCACUACUUGGGUAUGGUGCAUAUCAAACAACAAAAAAUCCUAAUAACUUGGCCCUUUCAUUGGGUACGAGUGCAGUUCUUGGAGGAAUAAUGGGUGUUCGUUAU